AAACGACUGCUAAUACCGCAUACCAUCUGACCUCGGCGUCGAAGAUACAUGAAAGGUGGCCUCUAAAUGUAACCUAUCACUGAAGGAGGGGAUUGCGUCUGAUUAUCUACUUGGAGGGGAAACGGCCCACCAAGGAGAUGAUCACUAGCCGGUCUGAAAGGAAGAACGGCCACAUAGUCACUGAGACACGGCCCAGACUCCUACGGGAGGCAGGAGUGGGGAAUCUUCCGCAAUGGACGAAAGGCUGACGGAACAACGCCGCGUGAGUGAUGACGGUCUUCGGGUUGUAAAGCUCUGUUAAUCGGGACGAAGGGCCUUUUUGCGAAUAGUGAAAAAGAUUGACGGUACCGGAAUACAAAGCCACGGCUAACUACGUGCCAGCAGCCGCGGUAAUACAUAUGUGGCAAGCGUUGUCCGGAAUUAUUGGGCGUAAAGCGCGCGCAGGCGGAUCAGUCAUUCUGUCUUAAAAGGUCUGCGCUUAUCCCCGUGAUGAGAUGGAAACUGCUGAUCUAAAGUAUCGGAGAGGAAAGUGGAAUUCCUAAUGUAGCGAUGAAAUGCGUAGAUAUUAGGAAGAACACCAGUGGAGAAUGCGACUUUCUGGACGAAAACUGACGCUGAGGCGCGAAAGCCAGGGCAGCGAACGGGAUUAGAAACCCCGGCAGUCCUGCCCGUAGACGAUGGGUAUUAGGUGUAGGAGGUAUCGACUCGUUCUGUGCUGGAGUUAACGCAAUAAGUACUCCGCCUGGGGAGUAGGACGGCAAGAUUGAAAAUCAAAGGAAUAGACGGGGGCCCGCACAACCGGUGGAGUAUCGUGGUUUAAUUUGACGCAACGCGAAGAGCCCUUUCAGGUCUUGACACAGAUGGACAGAACUAGAGAUAGUUCCUCUUGUUUUGAAGCCAUAAAACACGUGGUGCACGGUUGUCUUCAGAUCGUGUCGUGAGAUAUUGGGGUAAAUCUCGCAACGAGCGCAACCCCUAUAUUAUGUUUCCAGCACGUAAUGGUGGGAAAUCAUGAGAGACUGCCGCAGACAAUGCGGAGGAAGGCGGGGAAGACGUCAAAUUAUUCUGCCCCUUAUGGCGUGGGCUACCCCCGUAUGUACAAUGGGAGUUAAUAGACGGAAGCGAGAUCGCGAGAUGGAGCAAACCCUAGAAACACUCUUUCAGUUCGGAUCGUAGGUUGCAACUUGCCUACGAGAAGUUGGAAUCGCUAGUAAUUGCAGGUCAGCAUACUGCGGUGAAUACGUUCCCGGGCCUUGUACACCCCCCCCGUCCCCCCCUGAAAGUCGGAAGUCACCACAAAGGCCGGUGGGGUAACCUUCGGGAGCCAGCCGUCCAAGGUAAAGUUGAUGAUUG
This 1353-nucleotide ribosomal RNA is filed under the name uncultured organism. RNAcentral describes it as "partial small subunit ribosomal RNA". It matches the Rfam family "Bacterial small subunit ribosomal RNA", at positions 154 to 1477 of the family's 1533-position model. The record is from RNAcentral.